GGAUUUUUUCAUAUGGAAUUGACAUUAAAGAAAUGCUUGCUGGUGCAUCAUUGAUGGAUGAGGCAAAUAGGACCACCGUGGUAAAGAUUUAUUAUUCAUUCUCUUAUUAUUAUUACUAUUAUUUUUAAGUCAUUGUUGUCUUCUGAUAGUAGUUUUGUUACUUGAGUAGCCAAACUAUUCUCGUCUUCUCAAGCAACUGAAUAAUGGACUUUCUACAAUUCCUUGCAAAGGAUGGUCCAUCUCUUUCU
Camellia sinensis is the source of this 248-nucleotide non-coding RNA. Lineage: Eukaryota; Viridiplantae; Streptophyta; Magnoliopsida; Ericales; Theaceae. The record is from RefSeq and is a predicted model, not a curated record.